UAGCCGUAAACGAUACUCGCUAGGUGUCGGCCACGGUGCGACCGUUGUCGGUGCCGUAGGGAAGCCGUGAAGCGAGCCACCUGGGAAGUACGGCCGCAAGGCUGAAACUUAAAGGAAUUGGCGGGGGAGCACAACAACGGGUGGAGCUAGCGGUUUAAUUGGACUCAACGCCGGGAAGCUCACCGGAUAAGACAGCGGAAUGAUUGCCGGGCUGAAGACCCUGCAUGACCAGCUGAGAGGUGGUGCAUGGCGUAGUCGUGU
RNAcentral lists this ribosomal RNA (261 nucleotides) under uncultured archaeon. RNAcentral describes it as "partial 16S ribosomal RNA". It matches the Rfam family "Archaeal small subunit ribosomal RNA", at positions 748 to 1009 of the family's 1478-position model. The record is from RNAcentral.